RNAcentral lists this ribosomal RNA (497 nucleotides) under uncultured bacterium. RNAcentral describes it as "partial 16S ribosomal RNA". It matches the Rfam family "Bacterial small subunit ribosomal RNA", at positions 28 to 507 of the family's 1533-position model. The record is from RNAcentral.
GAUGAACGCUGGCGGCGUGCCUAAUACAUGCAAGUCGAGCGAACAGACGAGGAGCUUGCUCCUCUGACGUUAGCGGCGGACGGGUGAGUAACACGUGGAUAACCUACCUAUAAGACUGGGAUAACUUCGGGAAACCGGAGCUAAUACCGGAUAAUAUAUUGAACCGCAUGGUUCAAUAGUGAAAGACGGUUUUGCUGUCACUUAUAGAUGGAUCCGCGCCGCAUUAGCUAGUUGGUAAGGUAACGGCUUACCAAGGCAACGAUGCGUAGCCGACCUGAGGGGCUGAUAGGCCACACUGGAACUGAGCCACGGUCCAGACUCCUACGGGAGGCAGCAGUAGGGAAUCUGCCGCAAUAGGCGAAAGCAUGACGGAGCAACGCCGCGUGAGUGAUGAAGGUCUUCGGAUCGUAAAACUCUGUUAUUAGGGAAGAACAAAUGUGUAAGUAACUAUGCACUGCUUGACGGUACCUAAUCAGAAAGCAACGGCUAACUACGUG